GAACUUAAGCAUAUCAAUAAGCGGAGGAAAAGAAACUAACAAGGAUUCCCCUAGUAACUGCGAGUGAAGCGGGAAAAGCUCAAAUUUAAAAUCUGGCGGUCUUUGGCCGUCCGAGUUGUAGUUUAGAGAAGUGUUUUCCGCGCUGGACCGUGUACAAGUCUCCUGGAACGGAGCGUCAUAGAGGGUGAGAAUCCCGUCUUUGACACGGACUGCCAGUGCUUUGUGAUGCGCUCUCAAAGAGUCGAGUUGUUUGGGAAUGCAGCUCAAAAUGGGUGGUGAAUUCCAUCUAAAGCUAAAUAUUGGCGAGAGACCGAUAGCGAACAAGUACCGUGAGGGAAAGAUGAAAAGCACUUUGGAAAGAGAGUUAAACAGUACGUGAAAUUGUUGAAAGGGAAACGCUUGAAGUCAGUCGCGUCUGUCAAGACUCAGCCUUGCCUUUGGCGUGGUGUAUUUCUUGAUAGACGGGCCAGCAUCACUUUUGAUCGCCGGAAAAGGGUGGGGGAAAGGUGGCACCUUCGGGUGUGUUAUAGUCCCCUGUCGUAUACGGUGGUUGGGAGUGAGGAACUCAGCACGCCUUUUUGGUCGGGGCUUCGGCCUACGUUCGUGCUUAGGAUGCUGGCGUAAUGGCUUUAAACGACCCGUCUUGAAACACGGACCAAGGAGUCUAACAUGCCCGCGAGUGUUUGGGUGGAAAACCCAUGCGCGUAAUGAAAGUGAAAGUUGGGACCUCUGUCGUGGAGGGCACCGACGCCCGGACCAGAACUUCUGUGACGGAUCUGCGGUAGAGCGUGUAUGUUGGGACCCGAAAGAUGGUGAACUAUGCCUGAAUAGGGUGAAGCCAGAGGAAACUCUGGUGGAGGCUCGUAGCGAUUCUGACGUGCAAAUCGAUCGUCAAAUUUGGGUAUAGGGGCGAAAGACUAAUCGAACC
This 928-nucleotide ribosomal RNA is filed under the name Gloeocystidiellum clavuligerum. Its description in RNAcentral is "eukaryotic LSU rRNA". It matches the Rfam family "Eukaryotic large subunit ribosomal RNA", at positions 30 to 941 of the family's 3401-position model. Lineage: Eukaryota; Fungi; Basidiomycota; Agaricomycetes; Russulales; Gloeocystidiellaceae. The record is from RNAcentral.